AAGGGAAUAGCCAAGUGGUUACGGCAUCGGCCUUUGACUCCGAGAUCGGUAGGUUCAACUCCUCCUUCCCUUGCCA
Molecule: transfer RNA, 76 nt
Filed under: Klebsiella pneumoniae
Lineage: Bacteria; Pseudomonadati; Pseudomonadota; Gammaproteobacteria; Enterobacterales; Enterobacteriaceae
Also listed under: 38 other names
Description: tRNA-Gln
Rfam family: tRNA
About the family: Transfer RNA (tRNA) molecules are approximately 80 nucleotides in length. Their secondary structure includes four short double-helical elements and three loops (D, anti-codon, and T loops).
Source: RNAcentral